GACGAACCGUGCGAACGUUGUUCGGGAUCACUGGGCUUAAAGGGCGCGUAGGCGGCUUGCCAAGUCAGGGGUGAAAUCUUUCGGCUCAACCGGAAAAGUGCCUUUGAUACUGGUAAGCUGGAGGGAGGUAGGGGCAUGUGGAACUUCCAGUGGAGCGGUGAGACGCGUUGAUAUUGGAAGGAACGCCGGUGGCGAAAGCGACGUGCUGGACCUCUUCUGACGCUGAGGCGCGAAAGCUAGGGGAG
RNAcentral lists this ribosomal RNA (245 nucleotides) under uncultured Gemmata sp. RNAcentral's name for it is "partial 16S ribosomal RNA". It matches the Rfam family "Bacterial small subunit ribosomal RNA", at positions 524 to 768 of the family's 1533-position model. Lineage: Bacteria; Pseudomonadati; Planctomycetota; Planctomycetia; Gemmatales; Gemmataceae. The record is from RNAcentral.